Molecule: small nucleolar RNA, 140 nt
Organism: Electrophorus electricus (electric eel)
Lineage: Eukaryota; Metazoa; Chordata; Actinopteri; Gymnotiformes; Gymnotidae
Source: Ensembl
AGGGCACACUGUUAAAGCCUGGCACCAGCGUUGGUGUUUGGGUGUCGGAAGUGUGCUAGAGUGAGUAGGCCGGGUUUUCGCUAACACCAUGAGGGCUUCUGCCCCAUGACUGGGGUUUGAUAGUGACCUGAGCUACACUU